This is a non-coding RNA of Pseudonaja textilis, 1973 nucleotides long. NCBI's taxonomy places the organism in Eukaryota, Metazoa, Chordata, Lepidosauria, Squamata, Elapidae. The record is from RefSeq and is a predicted model, not a curated record.
CUGAGCAGCAGAUCUUUUAUAAAACUCUGCUGAGGAAGGAAUCUUCCUCUUAUCUUAACCUUAAUAAGUUCCAUAGGUAUUGCAUUACCUCAGCUUUCCCACAUAAAAUACAACAGUGCCUAGAUACUUCCCUUGUUAAGCACACAAUUGUCUGCUUAUUCUGCAAAGUGGCCUCUGUUAAGAGGAAAAUAUUCUUGUAUCAUGAAAUAGCUGGAAGAGUAUGAUUCUGCUAUUGAAUUCUAAUAGGCACCAAAGCCUUACAACUAUAAUGUGAAUGUCAUUUGUUGUCUUUUAGAUUAAAAUGUGCCAGUGUUUGCAUGUCUUUAACCACUAAGUUAUUCAACACUGUAUUCUAUUUUGAAAUGUAUUGCACAAUUAUAUAGUCUUUUUUUAAAAAUAAUAAUUGUAAGCUGCUAUUGCUGCUUCAAAUGCAGCCAUUGUAAUGCUGGGAUUCUCUUUGUUGCUAGUACACUGCGCUGUAAUUUAGACAGCCCUCUUUUUAACUAACUUACCUGUGUGAAGAUAAUCAGGAUUUUAAAAAUAGUUGGUUUUAUAAAACAAAAUACAAAAUGUUUAAUUUUAUAUGUUAAUGUUAAAAGGAAAAUAUUCAAUGUUCAAAUGUUAGUGCCAAAAACUGAUAUUGCAAUAUGUACUGGAAUUUCACAACAAAAACAUACACAGACAUUUUCUUUUAAUUCUAAAACUUAAAAGUGGUGUAAGCAAUGCUCCCAACUGAUUUUAAUUCAUAAUAAAAAGAAAAUAGAAGCUAGAGCCAACAAAGUAUCCACAAGGUAAAGCCAACCAGCCCAGCUCUAAUUUCUUUAAUAAUAGUAAUAGUAAUAACAACAACAAUAAUAAUGACAUCAGAUUUGAAACUCUGGAACAAAAACGUAACAACUUAUAUCACCUUGUUUGACUUGGCAAAUAGAAAUUUGGUCAAGUUGAAAAGCAGCAUUUGAUUACAUCAGAAGCUGAUGAACGUUGCACAGUUUCAGAUUCCACAGUGCCUUUUUUAAAGAAAGCCAAACAAUUUAUAGCUUGCUGCUAUUAUCUUUAUGGGCAUCUAUAGUAGUCCUCAACUUAUAACCACAUUUGAGAUCAGAAUUUCUAUUACUAACCAUUGUGAUUGUUAAGUGAAUCGUGCCUAAUUUAAUGACCAUUUUGUCUUGGUUGUUAAGUGAGUCACCUUAAUCAGUAAGUGAAUCAUGCAGUCCUUAAAAAAAAUCUGGCUUCCCCCAUUGACUUUACUGGUUGGAAGCCAGUUGGGAAAGUCACAAACGAUGAUUACGUGAUCCAAGGAUGCCGCCAUUGUCAUAAGUACAUGCUGGUUGCCAAGAGGCCCUAUUUUGACCAUGUAACCACGGGGAUCCUGCAAUGGGUGUAAGUGCAAGCAUUAGUCAUAAGUCUCUUUUUUUCAGUGCCACGGAAAUCUCAAAAGUUCCUAAAUGAAUGAUUGUAAGUUGAGGACAAUCUGGAUUCCUUUGCUAUUCUCAUUCUGACCAGCCUUCUUGGAUUCUCUAAUAGUUUGUAAGUUGUUGACACUACUAAGGCUGAGCUAAUCAUUGUGAGAAGCAAUUGAUUUGCCUUUCCCUGAUGUUAAGCCAUAGUAAAUCCAACAUGCCAAAUAAAAAAUCGCUUUGCAAAAAAUGCCCUCUGUAAGAAAAAAGAAAAUUCAACUUAAGAACUCAGUUGUAUUUAGGGAGUGGGAGAUGAUCAUGAUCUGAUGCUGUUGGUCAAAUUGCAAUAGCUCAUUUUUAGCACUUGGAACUAAAAUAAAGACCUGUAUUAUUUAGUAGCAUUAGAAAAGCAAUAAAUACAAUGAGGAAAACUAAUCAAGCAUUAUAAUAGUCAUUAUUGAGUUAAUUUUCUUCAUGUUUUGCAUUAUCCAUGCCCUCAGUUCCUUCUAUGUGUUUUACUGGAAAUGUGCUAUUUAUUCUUUUAAAAUGUAUCUCUAAUAAAAUACUUUCUAAACU